Molecule: long non-coding RNA, 806 nt
Filed under: Olea europaea subsp. europaea
Lineage: Eukaryota; Viridiplantae; Streptophyta; Magnoliopsida; Lamiales; Oleaceae
Source: RNAcentral
UUGCAGGUUACCGGACAAAGAAGCAGGGGAAAUACCUGCAGCAUGCGUUGUUGUAAGCUUGAAAGCAAAAGAAAAUGAAGAGGAUAUUAUGAACUUCGUUGCAUCUAACGUUGCCACCUACAAACGAAUUCGGAUACUGCAAUUUGUUGACAUGAUCCCAAAAUCACCUUCGGGAAAGAUAAUGAGAAGGCUUGUGAAGGAAAAUAUGGUGAAAAUUCUGCAGACAAACACAAAAGGUUGAAGAAAUGUUAUCUGAUAAUCUUGAAUUACCUGUGACCGAAAGAUGUGUCAGUUCAAUAAUGCUGGAGAAUAUUACUUUUAUCAAUGAAUGUGUUUUCUAGUUACUUUAAUGCGAAACUGUCAGAAAUUUCACCACAUUUCUUUGUUUCCAGAGGCUCAAACUCAAAACAUUGAUUUGAAAAUUGGAAGAUUCCAAUAUUGAUAUAUAUUGCAGGACAAAGCAUGCACAAUAACAUCAUAGUAAAAUUAGUCACUGAACAAAAAUUAAGUUACAUGAUAACAAUUUUUAAACAAAAGAAACAGCCUGUCUACUACUCAAGAAGAUAAUACACAAGGCACAAUGAGGUGCUGAAUUAAAUAUUUUGAGCCUUUCUUAUUUUAGGCACUAUAAUGAGUUGUUUAAUAAGGUGAUAUAUACAGCACAGUCAUGUCAAAUAAAACUUGUUUAAACUUGAUUUGUAGAGUAAUGAACUACUGAAUACCUUUGAAGCUUGCUUUUAAGUCAGUUUGUGAUAUCAAUGAAUUUGCAUACGUAUAUCAGUCCACUCGGGAAGCUCCAUCUAUUU